CACCGCCCAUCGCUCCUACCGAUUGAAUGGUCCGGUGAAGUGUUCGGAUUGCGGCGACGUGGGCGGUCCGCUGCCUGCGACGUUGUGAGAAGUCCACUGAACCUUAUCAUUUAGAGAAAGGAGAAAUCGUAACAAGGUUUUCGUAGGUGAACCUGUAGAAG
Medicago truncatula (barrel medic) is the source of this 161-nucleotide ribosomal RNA. It matches the Rfam family "Eukaryotic small subunit ribosomal RNA", at positions 1667 to 1823 of the family's 1831-position model. Lineage: Eukaryota; Viridiplantae; Streptophyta; Magnoliopsida; Fabales; Fabaceae. The record is from Rfam.